This 470-nucleotide ribosomal RNA is filed under the name uncultured bacterium. Its description in RNAcentral is "partial 16S ribosomal RNA". It matches the Rfam family "Bacterial small subunit ribosomal RNA", at positions 355 to 841 of the family's 1533-position model. The record is from RNAcentral.
UGGGGAAUAUUGCACAAUGGGCGAAAGCCUGAUGCAGCAACGCCGCGUGAGUGAUGAAGGUCUUCGGAUUGUAAAGCUCUGUCUUUUGGGACGAUAAUGACGGUACCAAAGGAGGAAGCCACGGCUAACUACGUGCCAGCAGCCGCGGUAAUACGUAGGUGGCGAGCGUUGUCCGGAUUUACUGGGCGUAAAGGGUGCGUAGGCGGAUGUUUAAGUGAGAUGUGAAAUACCCGGGCUUAACUUGGGUGCUGCAUUUCAAACUGGAUAUCUAGAGUGCAGGAGAGGAGAAUGGAAUUCCUAGUGUAGCGGUGAAAUGCGUAGAGAUUAGGAAGAACACCAGUGGCGAAGGCGAUUCUCUGGACUGUAACUGACGCUGAGGCACGAAAGCGUGGGUAGCAAACAGGAUUAGAUACCCUGGUAGUCCACGCCGUAAACGAUGAGUACUAGGUGUAGGAGGUAUCGACCCCUUC